RNAcentral lists this ribosomal RNA (233 nucleotides) under uncultured bacterium. RNAcentral's name for it is "partial 16S ribosomal RNA". It matches the Rfam family "Bacterial small subunit ribosomal RNA", at positions 100 to 334 of the family's 1533-position model. The record is from RNAcentral.
CGGGACGGGUGAGUAAUGUCUGGGAAACUGCCCGAUGGAGGGGGAUAACUACUGGAAACGGUAGCUAAUACCGCAUAACGUCACAAGACCAAAGAGGGGGACCUUAGGGCCUCUUGCCAUCGGAUGUGCCCAGAUGGGAUUAGCUAGUAGGUGGGGUAAUGGCUCACCUAGGCGACGAUCCCUAGCUGGUCUGAGAGGAUGACCAGCCACACUGGAACUGAGACACGGUCCAG